This 374-nucleotide ribosomal RNA is filed under the name uncultured bacterium. Its description in RNAcentral is "bacterial SSU rRNA". It matches the Rfam family "Bacterial small subunit ribosomal RNA", at positions 527 to 898 of the family's 1533-position model. The record is from RNAcentral.
GUAGGGUGCGAGCGUUAUCCGGAAUUAUUGGGCGUAAAGAGCUCGUAGGCGGUUUGUCGCGUCUGUCGUGAAAGUCCGGGGCUUAACCCCGGAUCUGCGGUGGGUACGGGCAGACUAGAGUGCAGUAGGGGAGACUGGAAUUCCUGGUGUAGCGGUGGAAUGCGCAGAUAUCAGGAGGAACACCGAUGGCGAAGGCAGGUCUCUGGGCUGUAACUGACGCUGAGGAGCGAAAGCAUGGGGAGCGAACAGGAUUAGAUACCCUGGUAGUCCAUGCCGUAAACGUUGGGCACUAGGUGUGGGGACCAUUCCACGGUUUCCGCGCCGCAGCUAACGCAUUAAGUGCCCCGCCUGGGGAGUACGGCCGCAAGGCUAAA